AGAACGAACGCUGGCGGCAGGCCUAACACAUGCAAGUCGAACGAGAAGCCACCUUCGGGUGGUGGACAGUGGCAGACGGGUGAGUAACGCGUGGGAACGUGCCUUUCGGUUCGGGAUAACCCAGGGAAACUUGGGCUAAUACCGGAUACGCCCUUCGGGGGAAAGAUUCAUUGCCGAAAGAUCGGCCCGCGUCGGAUUAGCUAGUUGGUAGGGUAAAAGCCUACCAAGGCGACGAUCCGUAGCUGGUCUGAGAGGAUGACCAGCCACACUGGGACUGAGACACGGCCCAGACUCCUACGGGAGGCAGCAGUGGGGAAUAUUGGACAAUGGGCGCAAGCCUGAUCCAGCCAUGCCGCGUGGGCGAAGAAGGCCUUAGGGUUGUAAAACCCCUUUCAGCGGGGGAAGAUAAUGACGGUACCCGCAGAAGAAGUCCCGGCUAACUCCGUGCCAGCAGCCGC
RNAcentral lists this ribosomal RNA (458 nucleotides) under uncultured bacterium. RNAcentral's name for it is "SSU rRNA". It matches the Rfam family "Bacterial small subunit ribosomal RNA", at positions 26 to 518 of the family's 1533-position model. The record is from RNAcentral.